Molecule: ribosomal RNA, 497 nt
Filed under: uncultured bacterium
Lineage: Bacteria
Description: partial 16S ribosomal RNA
Rfam family: Bacterial small subunit ribosomal RNA
Source: RNAcentral
GAUGAACGCUGGCGGCGUGCCUAAUACAUGCAAGUCGAGCGAACAGACGAGGAGCUUGCCCCUCUGACGUUAGCGGCGGACGGGUGAGUAACACGUGGAUAACCUACCUAUAAGACUGGGAUAACUUCGGGAAACCGGAGCUAAUACCGGAUAAUAUAUUGAACCGCAUGGUUCAAUAGUGAAAGACGGUUUUGCUGUCACUUAUAGAUGGAUCCGCGCCGCAUUAGCUAGUUGGUAAGGUAACGGCUUACCAAGGCAACGAUGCGUAGCCGACCUGAGAGGGUGAUCGGCCACACUGGAACUGAGACACGGUCCAGACUCCUACGGGAGGCAGCAGUAGGGAAUCUUCCGCAGUGGGCGAAAGCCUGACGGAGCAACGCCGCGUGAGUGAUGAAGGUCUUCGGAUCGUAAAACUCUGUUAUUAGGGAAGAACAAAUGUGUAAGUAACUAUGCACGUCUUGACGGUACCUAAUCAGAAAGCCACGGCUAACUACGUG